CAACCAUGUAUGUGGUUAGUUUUGAAUUAACUAAAUUAUUUUUAUUAAUUGCUGGAUAAUUUGAUGAACUGUCUAGUAGGUCAUAGCUGGUGGUUCUGCUGAGUUUGCUGGGCUAAAACACAACGAUGUCAUAAUUCAAUUCGGUGGCAGAAAAGUUCCAAGUUUCUUGGAGCUAUUUCAUGACAUGUGGAAGCAUGUGGGAGAAUCAGUGGAGUUAGUUGUGAUAAGAGCGAGUGCUGAUGUUCCUUUGCAUCUUACCAUGGUGGUGGAGGAGGCCACAUCAGAUAAAUUAUACAGCUGGCCAUUUUGGGAGGUAUGAUGACAUUCGAGAAGAGUAACAUCUAAGGGUUGCAGGUAAUGGGAAUAUAAUAUAAUGGUGCUUGGACUUCAUAACAUGCACUGACUUUUAUGUUUCUAUUCUGCUAUCAUUAUCACAAUUUGUUUGUUGUUAAACCUGAUUCUCAAUACUCAUACUAGACAAAGAAGGGUGAUUUAUUUUAUAUAAAUUUCAAAGGCGUUAGAUGUCCAUGGGAUUGGCUUUUUCCAUUUUCCUAUCCCAUUAAGUACCUUGUUACAUCUAGU
Long non-coding RNA from Nicotiana attenuata, 582 nucleotides. RefSeq lists it as uncharacterized. NCBI's taxonomy places the organism in Eukaryota, Viridiplantae, Streptophyta, Magnoliopsida, Solanales, Solanaceae. The record is from RefSeq and is a predicted model, not a curated record. The transcript is spliced from 3 exons.